AAAGAGAUAUCUCUUUGGCAAUGUAUACAAUGUAUACAAUGCCCUGUGGCAGAGAAAGCGAUCUCCUCUUCCAGAGUUCAAUUAUUUGUCAAGCAAUCAUUUUACUCUUCCAACAACUACUGCAUAAAUGGGAAAACGAAACCGAUUUUGUUUUGUUCUCCGCGCUCCCAGCACCAGGUGGAACCACGCGCGGCGCUUCCGAUCUCGGAGGAUGUAACAAGACGAGCGGUUGACGAAGCUGCAUUGUGUAGCCAGCCGGUUUAUCUUUUUAUGUUGUACAGUUUGUUAGUUUACCGUAAAUAUGUCUUGAUUUGUACUCAAGAGUGGAGCAAGGCCCUAUGGAACAGAGAUUGACGCAUCGUGAGCGAAGAACAGACGCGAUGGAUGGUUAGGCUGCUUGACUCUCGGCUGUACGACUCUCGGCAUGUUAGGACUGGCAAAGUUCCGAAUUUGUCGCGGUGUGGUGUACGCUUCUGUGCUCGUCAAGUGCCGUCAGAGCGCGGGGAUGUUUGAACGGAAUGUGUCCCUUCGUCUACAAAACUCUGCACGCUGCGGCAUCGAAGUCCUGUGUACGGGUGCACGUAUGCGCUUGGAUACGGGAUAGCCUGCCCUCAACGGAUGUUCAACAGUGUACGCACGCUGCGCGUACGCGUACGUAUGAGACUAGUUGCUGGUGUCCUGCUGGAGCUGAGAAGAGAUCUGCUGCCUGCCAUGAGACCAUGUCUCUCAAGUUACCGCAAUAUUGUUGCCUUCAAACCUGUCGAGACAAGGUUUCUGUACAUGGCCAUGGCGCUCAAGGAAGAAACCGAGACUGUAGACUGCCAACGUUCAUUCCUGUUCCGGCAAAGACGGGCCAGCAGUGACCAGCAGGAUUUUACAAAGUGAACUCAUCACAGCUUGAGCCACUCCAUGCCACAAGCAGUUGCUCCUCGAGCCACCGUGCAAAGGUUCCUUGGGGCACAAGUCCAACUCAGCGCCACAACCUUUCUUCUGCAGUUUUUCUACCUACUUAGCUAACCAGCAGCAAGUUUAUCCUUGCAAGGCAUGUGGGAACAGCUUUCACCAGGAAAAGUGCAAGACGAGUGGUCGAAGAAAAUAAAAUUGCUUCUGUGAUCUAAAGUACUUGACGAAUAAAAUUUUGCACUUAUUUGUAUAUAUGUCGUGCAAUUCAUUCAUAUCACAAAAAGCAAAGUGUUUGAUCUUUUGAGCUAUUUCAAUGUGUUGGCCAGACAGUUUUCUCCAUAGCGACCUGCUGCUUCUGCAAUGAGCUGCAUUCAUGACAUUUGCAUUAAAGGAUAUGUACUAUCGGGGACAAAAGUGCCCAGGACGUGCGAGUGUCGACCAAAUUGCAUCUCUGCACUAUCAGCCGCUAUCAUCUGCGUUGCAGACCACUUUCCGAAUGCAAAUGUUAGCGUGGCUGAUCCCAGCAGAAAGUGCACCAUUAAAAUUCGGUCGUCAUUCGCACAUUUUGGGCACUUCUGUCCCCAAUAGUACAUUCUCUAAAUAAUCAAUAUGCUCUGUAAAACAUAAUGCAUGAAACACCUCUAUUUUAACGAUUGGACCGUAUAGUACAGAUUUAGCAUACGGAGCCUUUUUAUUUCUGAGUACGGAAACACCUGUAUGUUAACGGUUGGACCGUAUAGUAGAGAUUCAGCAUACAGAGUCUUUUGUUUUCUGGAUACAGAAACACCUGUAUUUUAACGGUUGGACCGUAUAGUACAAAUUCAGCCUACGGAGCCUUUCGUUUCCUGGAUACGAAAAUACCUGUAUUUUAACGGUUGGACCGUAUACUACAGAUUCAAUAUACAGCGCCUUCCGUUUUCUGAAUACGGAAAGCACCUGUACAUUAACGGUCGAACCAUACGAUUCAGC
Molecule: long non-coding RNA, 1872 nt
Organism: Dermacentor silvarum
Lineage: Eukaryota; Metazoa; Arthropoda; Arachnida; Ixodida; Ixodidae
Exons: 4
Source: RefSeq, a predicted model, not a curated record